GAGAGUUGGGAGUAAACAGCCCCGAAUGGAGAGCCGAGGCGUGUUCGCUGCGGAGGCGCCGUUAUCCCGGGCCCGGCGGACCCGAGCUUGAGGCGGCCGCAGCAUCCCUUAUAAUCAAGAGUUGGUCGUGUCGGUGAAAAAAGAGAAAUUCUAAUUUGGUGCUUGUGGAGCCUUUGAAGCACCCAGGGUCCCAUGGGAUCAAGUGGGAUCUCUUCUGGUCCAGAGGUUUUUAGCCUUCUCUUUAAAUUCACGUGUCUUUGACUCCAUUUUCUUUGAUUCUGGCGGAAGUCUUUUGGUUUCCUAUUGCUACUGUGACAAAUUUCUACAAACUUAAUGGCUUAAAACAACACGAAUUGCUUACUUACGGUUCUGGAGGUGCGUCGUCCAGAGUCGGCCUCCCUGGGCUGAAGGUAAGCUGUCGGCAGGGCGUCCGUCCUUCUGGAAGUUCUGAGGGGAGUCUGUUUGCUUCCCUUUUUCAGUUUCCUGAGGUGGCUGCACUCCUUGGCUCCUGACCUCCUCCCCUGCUUACUGCAGCCUCCUGCGUCCAUCACAUCUGCUACUGCCCCC
RNAcentral lists this long non-coding RNA (567 nucleotides) under Equus asinus (donkey). Its description in RNAcentral is "lncRNA (ENSEASG00005028381.1)". Lineage: Eukaryota; Metazoa; Chordata; Mammalia; Perissodactyla; Equidae. The record is from RNAcentral.